Molecule: ribosomal RNA, 468 nt
Filed under: uncultured bacterium
Lineage: Bacteria
Description: partial 16S ribosomal RNA
Rfam family: Bacterial small subunit ribosomal RNA
Source: RNAcentral
GACGAACGCUGGCGGCGUGCUUAACACAUGCAAGUCGAACGGAAAGGCCCUGCUUUUGUGGGGUGCUCGAUUGGCGAACGGGUGAGUAACACGUGAGUAACCUGCCCUUGACUUUGUGAUAUCUUCAGGAAACUGGGGCUAAUACCUGAUAGGAUCUCCUGCUGCUUGGUGGUGGUUGGAAAUUUUCGGCGGUUGGUGAUGGACUCGCGGCUUAUCAGCUUGUUUGUGGGGUAGUGGCUUACCAAGGCUUUGACGGGUAGCCGGCCUGAGAGGGUGACCGGCCAAAUUGGGACUGAGAUAAGGCCCAGACGGCUACGGGAGGCAGCAGUGGGGAAUAUUGCACAAUGGGCGGAAGCCUGAUGAAGAAACGCCGCGUGCGGGAUGACGGGCUUCGGGUUGUAAACCGAUUUAGCAUGUGACGAAGCGUGAGUGACGGUAAUGGGUAAAGAAGCACCGGCUAACUACGUG